Non-coding RNA from Ceratobasidium sp. 423, 108 nucleotides. NCBI's taxonomy places the organism in Eukaryota, Fungi, Basidiomycota, Agaricomycetes, Cantharellales, Ceratobasidiaceae. The record is from the annotation of a GenBank genome assembly.
UCCAGUAUGGUGUAACGGCUAACAUUGUCGCCUUUCAUGAGAAGAUAUUCCUUAAUUGGAAAUUGAUCACGAGCGCGACGGCUCAGGGUUCGAUUCCCUGUACUGGAG